Biomphalaria glabrata is the source of this 2179-nucleotide long non-coding RNA. RefSeq lists it as uncharacterized. The record is from RefSeq and is a predicted model, not a curated record. Lineage: Eukaryota; Metazoa; Mollusca; Gastropoda; Planorbidae. The transcript is spliced from 2 exons.
GACUACAUAGAUAUAAUGAUAACUUAGAUCAAAUUGUGUUCACAAAAUGAGCAUUUUCGCUUAAAAUUUUAGAAGCAUUGACUAUGAGAUGUGCAUUAAUGGAUUCUACCCGUGAAACGGUUAACGUAUGCUCCUGUAGCUCAAUUUCUACUAAGAUUCGAUCUUUUUUUCACUCCAAAACCUUGUGCACAGUCACUGCUCCAUUCCUAAGUAUCGAUGUACGGCGAAGAGAUUUAUUUAAAGCUGACCAGUAGCUUGAGAUGGAAGUGAGGUCAAGGUGCGGUCUACCCGGACAUUGUGCAUUGAAUGAUAAGGAAGACCAAGAAAACAAUGGAUUAAUGAACACUGUAUUAUAAACUGAAGGUCUUUAGCCUAAUAGCCUAACGCCUGCUUCAUGUCCUUGUGAUACUUUGCACUCAUCGAAAGUGAAAAAGUAAUCAAAUGAAUGUUUACAACCCCCCCCCCAUAUCAUUUUUUUUUGGUUCCCACGAAGAUCUCCACAAAUAGAACUCAAGGUGGUUUGUGAUAGGUUAUUGUUUGGACUCCAGGAUGUAAUUUAUUUCUAUGUCUGACUAAGUGUUGACUGUUUUCAACAGGUGCGGGUGGGGAGGGGUAGGAACAAGGACAUGCCUUAUUUCUAUUACAACCUUCAGGUCCGUGUCUAAGUUUGUGUUGUUUUGCUAAUGUGUUUUCUUGGUCUCUGUGUGUGUCUGUAUCAAAGAAAGUGAUUCACCCAAGAUAUUGCUCUCAUCCCAAGCUGUUACAACCCAGACUGACGAAUUAUAUCUACAUGAAUUAGAAUAAUUUGGACAUUGAACUGCAUUGUUAAGUCCACACAAGCCACAAUCUAACAUCAACAAACCUUACCCUUCCCCCCUUUUUUUUUCUCAAUGCCAUCUGACAGCUUUCAUUAUGACAUGUAGUGAUCUAUUCUUCUUUUCCAGAAAAGAGUUAGCUUUUGGGAAAGAUUGUUAUUAGACUUAAAUUUACAAGGAAAAAAUGUUCAACAUCAAAGAUGGUCUCAUUUUUCAGUUUUAGCUGGUGCCAUAUUUAGACUUGAAAAGGCCCUAAGUUAUGGGCUUCCAGAUAUUAUAUGUCAGUGCUAAACAUUUCUUGGGGACCCAAUUGAUUGUGUUACCUAUAAGUAUAUCGGACCUUGAUUUUCACGUUUUUUUUUAAAUCUAUUUAUUAAUGAACUGCUAAAGAUAUGGUUAUAUUCUAAGCUCAACCAGUAAAUUACAAUGAUUACAAAGCUUAUAUUAAAUCACUCUGUCUGUCUGUCUGGUAAAAAUUUUGUAUACGUUAUUUCUCCCACACCCAUUCUCGGAUCAAGUUGAAACUUCGCACAAUUAUUCAUUAGUAUAGAUAGACCAGACAUUAAUCAAUUUAAAAAAUACUAUUAAACUAUUAAUUACUGGUAAUGAAUUAUUUUGUUUGAUACCAACAAGGGAAACUGAUAAUUCAGUAUUCACAUAUAUAACUAAAUUUGUUGGGUUUAGUUCCCUUAAAUAAUUGUUAACGCUAUUUCUCCCUCACAUAUUCUUCGAUUAAGUUGAUACUUUAAACAAUUAUUUAUUGCACCUAACAAAACAUGAAUCAAUAAACAAAAGUACUCAAUAAGUCAAUUAAUUAUUGGUAAUUUAUAAUUUUGUUUGAUAUCGAAUAAGGGAAAACUGGGAAAUAACUAGUACAUUAUUGAUACAUAUAGUUUUAAGGGCGGAGUUCUUACAUUUUAGAUAACCUUUUUUUUUUAAGUAUUAAGUAUUUUUUAUGUUUUUGUUGUGCAGCUCUGAAUUCAGUUAUGUAGCACUUAUGAUUUUAUAAUUAAUUCAAACUUGCGUAUUUUUUUCUAUCUCUGUGUAUCAUUUUUGGCAGUUUUCAAUGUUAGAACGCUCGACUGCUUCAUUAUCUGCUGCUAUUAAAAUACAUGUACUUAUAAUAAAAUUCAUUAUCUUACAAGCAUUGAACAUUUAGCAUGGAUGAGUCUCAUUCGAGUGCACAUUCUUUGAUGAGUAAGAAUACCAAAGCAUAUAUAUUUAUAUAGGUCUGUGACAUUAUAGAUAUAAUCCUUUUGCAACGGCUUGUGUGACUAAUGUGGCCAAUCCUUGAUACUCAGCUCUGGUCACAGGCUGGACAUCUAUAAUGACAUAAAAACUAAAGAAUAAAUUUGUGAAACAUU